This 215-nucleotide ribosomal RNA is filed under the name uncultured Streptococcus sp. RNAcentral describes it as "partial 16S ribosomal RNA". It matches the Rfam family "Bacterial small subunit ribosomal RNA", at positions 1169 to 1382 of the family's 1533-position model. Lineage: Bacteria; Bacillati; Bacillota; Bacilli; Lactobacillales; Streptococcaceae. The record is from RNAcentral.
GGAAGUGGGGAUGACGUCAAAUCAUCAUGCCCCUUAUGACCUGGGCUACACACGUGCUACAAUGGUUGGUACAACGAGUUGCGAGUCGGUGACGGCGAGCUAAUCUCUUAAAGCCCAAUCUCAGUUCGGAUUGUAGGCUGCAACUCGCCUACAUGAAGUCGGAAUCGCUAGUAAUCGCGGAUCAGCACGCCGCGGUGAAUACGUUCCCGGGCCUU